Molecule: ribosomal RNA, 253 nt
Filed under: uncultured bacterium
Lineage: Bacteria
Description: partial 16S ribosomal RNA
Rfam family: Bacterial small subunit ribosomal RNA
Source: RNAcentral
AACGUAGGAGACAAGCGUUAUCCGGAUUUACUGGGCGUAAAGCGUGCGCAGGCGGUUGUGUAAGACAGAUGUGAAAUCCCCGGGCUCAACCUGGGAACUGCAUUUGUGACUGCACAGCUGGAGUGCGGCAGAGGGGGAUGGAAUUCCGCGUGUAGCAGUGAAAUGCGUAGAUAUGCGGAGGAACACCGAUGGCGAAGGCAAUCCCCUGGGCCUGCACUGACGCUCAUGCACGAAAGCGUGGGGAGCAAACAGG